CUCCAGGUACAGACGCCGGACGCCGGCGCUGC
This 32-nucleotide small RNA is filed under the name Bombyx mori (domestic silkworm). Its description in RNAcentral is "ovarian small RNA-14672". The record is from RNAcentral. Lineage: Eukaryota; Metazoa; Arthropoda; Insecta; Lepidoptera; Bombycidae.